Molecule: ribosomal RNA, 730 nt
Filed under: uncultured archaeon
Lineage: Archaea
Description: bacterial SSU rRNA
Rfam family: Archaeal small subunit ribosomal RNA
Source: RNAcentral
GUUGGAUACCACGGAAACUGUGGCUAAUACCAGAUAUUGAAAGAAUUCUGGAAUGAAUCUUUCGCUAAACGCAAGGCCUAAGGAUGAGUCGGCGGCGGAUUAGGCAGUUGGCGGUGUAACGGACCACCAAACCAAAGAUCCGUAGGGGCCAUGAAAGGGGUAGCCCCGAGAGGGACACUGAAAUACUGGUCCCAGCUCCACGGAGUGCAGCAGGCGCGUAACCUCCACAAUGCGCGAAAGCUGGAUGGGGGGAUCCCGAGUGCUUACAUUUAUUGUAAGCUUUUGCCAAGGGUAAAUACCUUGGAGAAUAAGUGGUGGGAAAGACCGGUGCCAGCAGCCGCGGUAACCCCGGCGCCACAAGUGGCAAUCUUGUAUUUGGCCUAAAGCAUUCGUAGCCGGCUUAAUAAAUCCUUUGUGAAAUCGUUGAACUCAAUGCAACGGCGUGCAGGGGACACUGUUAAGCUUGAGACUGGGAGGAGUUAGGGGUAUGCCUAGGGGAGCGGUUAAAUGUGAUAAUCCUAGGUAGACCACCUGUGGCGAAGGCGCCUAACUAGAACAGUUCUGACGGUGAGGGAUGAAAGCUAGGGGAGCGAUCCGGAUUAGAUACCCGAGUAGUCCUAGCUGUAAACUCUGCGAGCUAGGUGUCGCAUAUUCUACGAGAAUGUGCGGUGUCGAAACGAAGGUGAUAAGCUCGCCGCCUGGGAAGUACAGUCGCAAGACUGAAACUUAA